RNAcentral lists this ribosomal RNA (137 nucleotides) under Ochotona princeps (American pika). Lineage: Eukaryota; Metazoa; Chordata; Mammalia; Lagomorpha; Ochotonidae. The record is from RNAcentral.
GUCUACGGCCACACCACCCUGAACACGCCCGAUCCCGUCUGUUCUUGGACGCUAAGCAGGGUUGGGCCUGCUUAGUACUUGGAUGGGAAAACAGUGGAACUCCACUGAGGGUUUGGGGAGGAGGGUAGCAGAACAUG